CCUACGGGGGGCAGCAGUGAGGAAUAUUGGUCAAUGGACGAGAGUCUGAACCAGCCAAGUAGCGUGAAGGAUGACUGCCCUAUGGGUUGUAAACUUCUUUUAUAUGGGAAUAAAAUGUUCCACGUGUGGGAUUUUGUAUGUACCAUAUGAAUAAGGAUCGGCUAACUCCGUGCCAGCAGCCGCGGUAAUACGGAGGAUCCGAGCGUUAUCCGGAUUUAUUGGGUUUAAAGGGAGCGUAGGUGGAUUGUUAAGUCAGUUGUGAAAGUUUGCGGCUCAACCGUAAAAUUGCAGUUGAAACUGGCAGUCUUGAGUACAGUAGAGGUGGGCGGAAUACGUGGUGUAGCGGUGAAAUGCUUAGAUAUCACGAAGAACUCCGAUUGCGAAGGCAGUUCACUGGACUGCAACUGACACUGAGGCUCGAAAGUGUGGGUAUCAAACAGGAUUAGAUACCCCUGUAGUC
Molecule: ribosomal RNA, 460 nt
Filed under: uncultured bacterium
Lineage: Bacteria
Description: partial 16S ribosomal RNA
Rfam family: Bacterial small subunit ribosomal RNA
Source: RNAcentral